GAUGAACGCUGGCGGCGUGCUUAACACAUGCAAGUCGAACGGAAAGGCUCCUGCUUGCAGGGGUACUCGAGUGGCGAACGGGUGAGUAACACGUGGGUGAUCUGCCCUGCACUUCGGGAUAAGCCUGGGCAACUGGGUCUAAUACCGGCUAGGACGAUGGUUUGGAUGCCAUUGUGGAAAGUUUUUCGGUGUGGGAUGAGCUCGCGGCCUAUCAGCUUGUUGGUGGGGUAAUGGCCUACCAAGGCGUCGACGGGUAGCCGGCCUGGGAGGGUGUACGGCCACAUUGGGACUGAGAUACGGCCCAGACUCCUACGGGAGGCAGCGGUGGGGAGUAUUGCACAAUGGGCGCGAGCCUGAUGCGGCGACGCCGCGUGGGGGAUGACGGCCUUCGGGUUGUAAACUCCUUUCGCUAGGGACGAAGCGCAAGUGACGGUACCUGGAGAAGAAGCACCGGCUAACUACGUG
RNAcentral lists this ribosomal RNA (465 nucleotides) under uncultured bacterium. RNAcentral's name for it is "partial 16S ribosomal RNA". It matches the Rfam family "Bacterial small subunit ribosomal RNA", at positions 28 to 507 of the family's 1533-position model. The record is from RNAcentral.